AUAAUUUACUAACAAAAAAUAUAUGAACAAAAAAAUUAUAAUAAAAAUAAAUUAAACAAAAAAAAUAAGAAAGAAAAAGAUGAUGAAAAUAUAUGAGAAAGAAAAAAUUGAUGAAGGAGAAAAAUGAGAAAGAAAAAGAUGAAGAAGAAGAUAAAUUGAAAGAAAAAGAUAAUGAAGAAAAUAGAUGAGAAAAAAUAAUGAGAAAGGAAAAUAGAUGAAGAAAAUAUGUUAGAAUGGAAAAGGUGAUGAAUAAAAUAUAUGAGAAUAAAAAAGAUGAUGAAGAAAAUGAGAGAAAGAAAAGAAAGAAAGAAAAAAAAAGGAAGAGGGAGUUGGGGUGCAAGGAAGAAUGAAAGAAGGGAAUAACUGAAGGAGACAUACAGUUACAGCAGAGAAAGCUGCAAAGCUGCUUCAAUAAUAUUGCAUCAUGAAGACAAUACUUAAGCUACCAUUGUUAACAAAUAAUCUGGUUCUAGCAUUCAAAACUACACAAACCUUGUGCAAAAUUUCAAUAUUUCAUUCUUCAGAAUUAAACUACUGCCACUGCUCAAAAAAAAUAUACUGCCAGAAUAUCCCAAACAAAUCUCAAGUCAUGACAGAUCAGUCAGCCAGACCAAAGGAACAGAGGUUUUCAUUCAUCCGCUUCUGAUGAGCAAUUGUACUCUAUAAAGGUUUUCAUUCUUCCUUCUAUUUGUAACGUGUGAGAAAAUCAAUACCAAACAUCCAAGCUAGGAAACACUAAAAAACACAGACAGUAGUGAGCAGUACCUCCCAUCCUUACAUUGAGAUCAUCAGGAGAGUCUUGCAGCCCCAAAAUCAUAGAUAACUUCACUAAGCUUGGACUUAUCCAAGCACCAAUUAUAAUUUUCAUUCAUAAUGUUCGUAAUAGUAAGCUCUAGUAACUUACAAACUGAUUUGAUUCAUUGCUGA
This 927-nucleotide unclassified non-coding RNA is filed under the name Hevea brasiliensis (rubber tree). Lineage: Eukaryota; Viridiplantae; Streptophyta; Magnoliopsida; Malpighiales; Euphorbiaceae. The record is from RNAcentral.